RNAcentral lists this ribosomal RNA (492 nucleotides) under uncultured bacterium. RNAcentral describes it as "partial 16S ribosomal RNA". It matches the Rfam family "Bacterial small subunit ribosomal RNA", at positions 29 to 507 of the family's 1533-position model. The record is from RNAcentral.
AGUGAACGCUGGCGGUAGGCCUAACACAUGCAAGUCGAACGGCAGCACAGUAAGAGCUUGCUCUUACGGGUGGCGAGUGGCGGACGGGUGAGGAAUACAUCGGAAUCUACUUUUUCGUGGGGGAUAACGUAGGGAAACUUACGCUAAGACCGCAUACGACCUACGGGGGAAAGCAGGGGAACUUCGGACCUUGCGCGAAUGAAUGAGCCGAUGUCCGAUUAGCUAGUUGGCGGGGUAAAGGCCCACCAAGGCGACGAUCCGUAGCUGGUCUGAGAGGAUGAUCAGCCACACUGGAACUGAGACACGGUCCAGACUCCUACGGGAGGCAGCAGUGGGGAAUAUUGGACAAUGGGCGCAAGCCUGAUCCAGCCAUACCGCGUGGGUGAAGAAGGCCUUCGGGUUGUAAAGCCCUUUUGUUGGGAAAGAAAAGCAGCAGGUUAAUACCCCGCUGUUCUGACGGUACCCAAAGAAUAAGCACCGGCUAACUUCGUG